Molecule: unclassified non-coding RNA, 226 nt
Filed under: Hevea brasiliensis (rubber tree)
Lineage: Eukaryota; Viridiplantae; Streptophyta; Magnoliopsida; Malpighiales; Euphorbiaceae
Source: RNAcentral
AAUGUUGGAAGAGAUGAAACUUUCGAUGAUGUGCUGGAAGACUGGAGAACAAAGCCAACAGUUGAACGGGUUUGGUUUGAAGUGAUGGCAAGAAUUGAAGCUGAGAAGUUGAGGGUCCUAAUGGUUAAAAAGGUCAGACCUUUUGUUGCACUAGAUUCAGUUUCNGAAAAAUCCUGAUACCAAAAUUGAAACUGAAGGACAAAAAAGGCCAACCUUGAAAAUUUUC